CUUCCACGGACUGCCACGUCGAGAUCCGUGACGACAAGGUUUAUUUGGUUUUUAUCCCUCAGUUUCAAAAGGCUGAUUGGGUAUUGUCAUCACCCUACCAGGUGGGCAGGCCUGUUCCCCAGGUUCCAGUGAGCACAG
Molecule: long non-coding RNA, 138 nt
Organism: Pelmatolapia mariae (spotted tilapia)
Lineage: Eukaryota; Metazoa; Chordata; Actinopteri; Cichliformes; Cichlidae
Exons: 3
Source: RefSeq, a predicted model, not a curated record